Molecule: ribosomal RNA, 360 nt
Filed under: Salmonella enterica subsp. enterica serovar Kentucky
Lineage: Bacteria; Pseudomonadati; Pseudomonadota; Gammaproteobacteria; Enterobacterales; Enterobacteriaceae
Description: bacterial SSU rRNA
Rfam family: Bacterial small subunit ribosomal RNA
Source: RNAcentral
GGUGAGUAAUGUCUGGGAAACUGCCUGAUGGAGGGGGAUAACUACUGGAAACGGUGGCUAAUACCGCAUAACGACGCAAGACCAAAGUGGGGGACCUUCGGGCCUCUUGUCAUCAGAUGUGCCCAGAUGGGAUUAGCCUGUUGGUGAGGUAACGGCUCACCAAGGCGACGAUCCCUAGCUGGUCUGAGAGGAUGACCAGCCACACUGGAACGGAGACACGGUCCAGACUCCUACGGGACGCAGCCGUGGGGAAUAUUGCACAAUGGGCGCAAGCCUGAUGCAGCCAUGCCGCGUGUAUGAAGAAGGCCUUCGGGGUGUAAAGUACUCUCCCCGGGGGGGUAGUGGUUGUGGUCAAGAACU